GCUCAACCCUGGAACUGCCUCCNAUACUGUCAGUCUUGAGUUCGAGAGAGGUGAGUGGAAUUCCAAGUGUAGAGGUGAAAUUCGUAGAUAUUUGGAGGAACACCAGUGGCGAAGGCGGCUCACUGGCUCGAUA
Molecule: ribosomal RNA, 133 nt
Filed under: uncultured bacterium
Lineage: Bacteria
Description: partial 16S ribosomal RNA
Rfam family: Bacterial small subunit ribosomal RNA
Source: RNAcentral